Molecule: ribosomal RNA, 480 nt
Filed under: uncultured bacterium
Lineage: Bacteria
Description: bacterial SSU rRNA
Rfam family: Bacterial small subunit ribosomal RNA
Source: RNAcentral
GACGAACGCUGGCGGCGUGCUUAACACAUGCAAGUCGAACGGAAAGGCCCGCUUGCGGGUACUCGAGUGGCGAACGGGUGAGUAACACGUGGGCAACCUGCCCUCAGCUUCGGGACAACUCCUGGAAACGGGUGCUAAUACCGGAUAUUGACUUCUGAUCGCAUGGUCGGGGGUUGAAAGUUUUUUCGGCUGGGGAUGGGCCCGCGGCCUAUCAGCUUGUUGGUGGGGUGAUGGCCUACCAAGGCGACGACGGGUAGCCGGCCUGAGAGGGCGACCGGCCACACUGGAACUGAGACACGGUCCAGACUCCUACGGGAGGCAGCAGUGGGGAAUAUUGCGCAAUGGGCGGAAGCCUGACGCAGCGACGCCGCGUGAGGGAUGAAGGUCUUCGGAUUGUAAACCUCUUUCAGUAGGGACGAAUUCAGACGGUACCUGCAGAAGAAGCACCGGCUAACUACGUGCCAGCCGCCGCCGUAAAAC